This is a long non-coding RNA of Ornithorhynchus anatinus (platypus), 520 nucleotides long. RefSeq lists it as uncharacterized. The transcript is spliced from 2 exons. Lineage: Eukaryota; Metazoa; Chordata; Mammalia; Monotremata; Ornithorhynchidae. The record is from RefSeq and is a predicted model, not a curated record.
CCCAAGCCCGGGCUCUCGUCACUAAGCCAAGCUGCUUCUCUGCACUGACUCAUCUUUUGGUUUGUAUACAGAGUUGGCCCUCAGGUUACCAAGGGGAAAAGACCUUUACUCGACUACGAACAUUCCUCAUCAAGUCUGAAAUACGUUAAAGUCGGUACAAAUCGGUUGGCCACCAGAAAUCGGAGGGCCAGGCCCAAGAAGGGAACGAUGUCACGGCACGAUUUUCCCCCAUCCCCCCGCGCAAGAAAAUGAAAAGAGCCCGGAAAAGAAGUACCUUGGUCAAACGGCUUGGAAUGCUAUUAGGCAGAGAUGUGCUGUUACUCCUCGUUGCGGCAGCUGGAAGCAGGAGAGGAGGAGGCGGAAUGGAGGCAUGCGAAGGAUCUGACGGAGACUUAAUCACCGAGGCGCUGACCGAUGCCACUGCGGGAAGUUCCACUUGGUCUAGAAAAGGCAACGCAUUUAUCUUUAGUAUUUACGCCCAGGCAUGUCCUAUUGCGCGGUAAAAUAGAACAGAUGCAGA